RNAcentral lists this ribosomal RNA (468 nucleotides) under uncultured bacterium. RNAcentral's name for it is "partial 16S ribosomal RNA". It matches the Rfam family "Bacterial small subunit ribosomal RNA", at positions 28 to 507 of the family's 1533-position model. The record is from RNAcentral.
GACGAACGCUGGCGGCGUGCUUAACACAUGCAAGUCGAACGGAAAGGCCCUGCUUUUGUGGGGUGCUCGAGUGGCGAACGGGUGAGUAACACGUGAGUAACCUGCCCUUGACUUUGGGAUAACUUCAGGAAACUGGGGCUAAUACCGGAUAGGAGCUCCUGCUGCAUGGUGGGGGUUGGAAAGUUUCGGCGGUUGGGGAUGGACUCGCGGCUUAUCAGCUUGUUGGUGGGGUAGUGGCUUACCAAGGCUUUGACGGGUAGCCGGCCUGAGAGGGUGACCGGCCACAUUGGGACUGAGAUACGGCCCAGACGCCUACGGGAGGCAGCAGUGGGGAAUAUUGCACAAUGGGCGGAAGCCUGAGGCAGCAACGCCGCGUGCGGGAUGACGGCCUUCGGGUUGUAAACCGAUUUCGCCUGUGACGAAGCGUGAGUGACGGUAAUGGGUAAAGAAGUACCGGCUAACUACGUG